RNAcentral lists this non-coding RNA (130 nucleotides) under Pseudoalteromonas sp. RNAcentral's name for it is "MoCo sequence". It matches the Rfam family "Molybdenum/Tungsten riboswitch aptamer (Moco RNA motif)". The record is from RNAcentral. Lineage: Bacteria; Pseudomonadati; Pseudomonadota; Gammaproteobacteria; Alteromonadales; Pseudoalteromonadaceae.
UCAGAAAUACAACUCCGAGCUGUCUCACCUUCGUCAAAGACAUGGUGAGUAAGCCGUGGCUGAGCCACCGGGUUUAAAAAGAAAUUUUUAAGCCUCCCACUAUUUGGAAAGGUGUUGAUUAUGUUACUCG